UACGUAGGGGGCAAGCGUUAUCCGGAUUUACUGGGUGUAAAGGGAGCGUAGACGGCAGCGCAAGUCUGGAGUGAAAUGCCGGGGCCCAACCCCGGAACUGCUUUGGAAACUGUGCGGCUCGAGUGCGGGAGAGGUAGGCGGAAUAAGUUAAGUAGCGGUGAAAUGCUUAGAUAUAACUUAGAACUCCGAUAGCGAAGGCAGCUUACCAGACUGCGACUGACGCUGAAGCACGAGAGCGUGGGUAGCGAACAGG
RNAcentral lists this ribosomal RNA (253 nucleotides) under uncultured bacterium. Its description in RNAcentral is "partial 16S ribosomal RNA". It matches the Rfam family "Bacterial small subunit ribosomal RNA", at positions 524 to 776 of the family's 1533-position model. The record is from RNAcentral.